Molecule: long non-coding RNA, 1265 nt
Organism: Chroicocephalus ridibundus (black-headed gull)
Lineage: Eukaryota; Metazoa; Chordata; Aves; Charadriiformes; Laridae
Exons: 3
Source: RefSeq, a predicted model, not a curated record
UUGAACAGGACAUCCCAGGGUCCUUUCCAGCUUGAAUUGUUCUGGGAUUCCAGUGGCAAUUUCCCCAAAGGUUGUUGAUUAUAUUUCCAGAAAGGGAAACCAGCAGUGUUGUGAGCUGUUUAGCUCACACUGUUCUUUACAGUUACUGCUGAGGAUGAUGCAGAAUGAGACCUUCAGCCUGAGAAGCUGAAACUUACUGAUUGUGAUUUCCUAACAGAUUUCCUCAGUGGAAUUCUGUGGUGUUAUAGAAAGGACCUGCAGGGAGCCGAGGGUGCAGUCAGCUCUAGUCCCGCGCUGAACUCACAGCUUUGGAGAAGGAGCUGUUACCAGCUGGUGAAGUACUGGAGAUACCACCUUUCCUAUCCAAAGAGUUGACACAGGGGGAAAUUCAGAAUUAUCCCCUGUUUUGAGGGUGCAUCAUAAAUCACUGGAGCAGCUUAUUCUGAGUUAGAGAGGUUUCUCCAUCACUUGGAUCCUAUAAAGACUGGCGCUGUUCCUGGUUGAUUUUCCUCCACGUCCACUAAUGCAUUAGAAAUACCUCCAAGGGAAGGAAGAGCUCCCCCCUGCCCCACUCCCUGGCCCCAGGUCCCACACCCUUGCUAGAACGGGCUGUUUGCUAUGUCAUGACUUUUUUUGUGGGGCCUGCUCACAUCACCGCUGACAGCUCUGGGUUGGGAACUGAACAGAAUUGCUGCCGCUGCGCUGGCGUGAGAGGCUGGCCUUGCCCCUCCGCAGCGCUGGGCCGGCUGUGGUAGCAUGCUGUGUAGCAUAUGCUGUACCCAACUGGACGCUUUCCAAGUUCAUUCACUUACCAGGAUAGAAGUCAAAGGAAGAGUGUGGCUUUGUGCUGCUUCUUACCCCAAAUGGUAUCAUUGUACUGCAAUUGAACCUUAAAAGCUGAUAGGAAGGGCGAGUAUGAAGACAUGGUAGAAACAGAGAAUAGAAUCAGUCUUGACUGCUUGCGUCACAAAUGAUGUGUUGUUGUAUAAAAAAUUACUAGUUGUUGGCAAUGGCCCUAUCUGUCAAAUUCAGUAAGUUUUGCUGAUUUACUGUAGAUGAGGAACCGUCCCUUUUGUUUGUGUUUGUGUCUGCAUCUGUGAUUUGCAGUCUCACUAGAAAAAAAAAAUCAAGAAAAGCAGCAUGGAUGAAAAGUACAUUUACAGCUGUGUAUUCAGUUAGGUGAAAAGAUUGAAUGGCUGAGACAUGAGAGAUCAAUGGACGGAGACUGGUCUUAUUUAAACCUCUAUUAAUGUUUUGGGGACUUA